GGGGUUAUAUUUAAUAAUAAUAUUUGAUUUGCAAUCAAAAGGUAUCUUAAAUAAUUCAAGAUUAACCUUA
This 70-nucleotide transfer RNA is filed under the name Doratura homophyla. RNAcentral describes it as "tRNA-Ala". The record is from RNAcentral. Lineage: Eukaryota; Metazoa; Arthropoda; Insecta; Hemiptera; Cicadellidae.